AUGAGGCAUUGCCAGACCCCACUGGGUUACAGCCUGGCCACCCCAGACCUACUGGAUAACUCCAGCUUCCCAAAAAUCCCAGCUGAAUGCAGGUCUAGGAAAGGCAGCAGACAGAGGCAAGAAGGAUUGUCCCCAGGAGCUGUUCCUGCCCUCCGUGGGUACUUCUGCACCAGCAAACUCCAGAGGGGCCCUGAGUCCAGAGACCUCAAGUGCAGUCAGCUCUUUGUAAGGAACAGACACUUCUGGAGCUUCCUCCCAUGUGGAAUGUUCCCAGACUUUUAUCUGGUUUGUGAUCAGUUCUGUCCAUUUUUUUUCUUACCUGUUACAAACUCAUGUAAAGUCCUGGCUAAUUUAGAUUGUAACAUAACUAAGGAUUUUGCUUAUUCAUAAUGAUUUAUUGAGCUGUGCAAAGACAGUGCUAUUUUAAGAGUUUUUAGAUGGUCUGUUGUCUUCUAAAAGGGCAGAAAAUGCAAAUGGCUCAUACAAUCAGUUGUAUCUGCUCAGACUCACUAAAUCAUAAGGAGUCAAAGCAAUGCAGCAACACUCUGCAUUUGUGGAACACUGAUGCCACAUGGCAGU
This 579-nucleotide long non-coding RNA is filed under the name Cyanistes caeruleus (blue tit). RNAcentral describes it as "lncRNA (ENSCCEG00000023684.1)". Lineage: Eukaryota; Metazoa; Chordata; Aves; Passeriformes; Paridae. The record is from RNAcentral.